Molecule: ribosomal RNA, 1098 nt
Filed under: Hannaella sp. DSM 101917
Lineage: Eukaryota; Fungi; Basidiomycota; Tremellomycetes; Tremellales; Bulleribasidiaceae
Description: eukaryotic LSU rRNA
Rfam family: Eukaryotic large subunit ribosomal RNA (bases 420-1098)
Source: RNAcentral
GUUCGUAGUGACUGCGGAGGAUCAUUAAUAAAUGUUGCCUCUGGUAACUUUAUAAUCCUUUAACACCUGUGCAUCUUGUCGCUCCGGCGAUAUUAUACAAACAUCAGUGUAAAGAAUGUAAACUAUUAUAAUAAAUACAACUUUUAACAACGGAUCUCUUGGCUCUCGCAUCGAUGAAGAACGCAGCGAAAUGCGAUAAGUAAUGUGAAUUGCAGAAUUCAGUGAAUCAUCGAAUCUUUGAACGCACAUUGCGCCUUUUGGUAUUCCGAAAGGCAUGCCUGUUUGAGUGUCAUAAGACCUCUCAUACCUAGUUUUCUAUGUAUGAGCUUUGGACGUCUGCCAUCCGUGGCUCGUCUUAAAUGUCUAAGUGGAAUGCGUAAUAAGUUUUCGCUCCCUCCACUCUAAUAACACUUUAAGUUAGACCUCAAAUCAGGUAGGGCUACCCGCUGAACUUAAGCAUAUCAAUAAGCGGAGGAAAAGAAACUAACAAGGAUUCCCCUAGUAGCGGCGAGCGAACCGGGAAGAGCUCAAAUUUAAAAUCUGGCGUCCUUCGGGCGUCCGAGUUGUAAUCUACAGAAGUGUUUUCCGUGCUGGACCGUGUCCAAGUCCCUUGGAACAGGGUAUCAAAGAGGGUGACAAUCCCGUACUUGACACGACAACCAGUGCUAUGUGAUACAUUUUCUACGAGUCGAGUUGUUUGGGAAUGCAGCUCAAAAUGGGUGGUAAAUUCCAUCUAAAGCUAAAUAUAGGCGAGAGACCGAUAGCGAACAAGUACCGUGAGGGAAAGAUGAAAAGCACUUUGGAAAGAGAGUUAAACAGUACGUGAAAUUGUUAAAAGGGAAACGAUUGAAGUCAGUCGUGUCUGUUGGUUUCAGCUGUCUCUGGCAGUGCAUUACCAACAGACGGGUCAACAUCAGUUUUGGACGGUGGAAAAAGACGGAGAGAACGUAGCACCUUCGGGUGUGUUAUAGCUCUCUGUUGCAUACACUGUCCGAGACUGAGGAAUGCAGCUCGCCUUUAUGGCCGGGGUUCGCCCACGUUCGAGCUUAGGAUGUUGACAUAAUGGCUUUAAACGACCCGCUGAAAAAACCCGGACCA